RNAcentral lists this ribosomal RNA (428 nucleotides) under uncultured bacterium. RNAcentral's name for it is "bacterial SSU rRNA". It matches the Rfam family "Bacterial small subunit ribosomal RNA", at positions 354 to 796 of the family's 1533-position model. The record is from RNAcentral.
GUGGGGAAUAUUGCACAAUGGGGGAAACCCUGACGCAGCAACGCCGCGUGAAGGAUGAAGGUCUUCGGAUUGUAAACUUCUUUUAUUAAGGACGAAGAAAGUGACGGUACUUAAUGAAUAAGCUCCGGCUAACUACGUGCCAGCAGCCGCGGUAAUACGUAGGGAGCAAGCGUUGUCCGGAUUUACUGGGUGUAAAGGGUGCGUAGGCGGCUUUGCAAGUCAGAUGUGAAAUCUAUGGGCUCAACCCAUAGCCUGCAUUUGAAACUGCAGAGCUUGAGUGAAGUAGAGGCAGGCGGAAUUCCCCGUGUAGCGGUGAAAUGCGUAGAGAUGGGGAGGAACACCAGUGGCGAAGGCGGCCUGCUGGGCUUUAACUGACGCUGAGGCACGAAAGCGUGGGUAGCAAACAGGAUUAGAUACCCUUGUAGUCC